AGAAAAGGCGUCCACUAACACUGGGCGUUCUUGACGGUACCGGCGGAAUAAGCACCGGCUAACUACGUGCCAGCAGCCGCGGUAAUACGUAGGGUGCGAGCGUUAAUCGGAAUUACUGGGCGUAAAGCGUGCGCAGGCGGUUCGUUAAGUUUGCGGUGAAAGCCCCGGGCUCAACCUGGGAAUGGCCGUGGAAACUGGCGGGCUGGAGUGCGGCAGAGGGGGUGGAAUUCCGCGUGUAGCAGUGAAAUGCGUAGAGAUGCGGAGGAACACCGAUGGCGAAGGCAGCCCCCUGGGCCGACACUGACGCUCAGGCACGAAAGCGUGGGGAGCAAACAGGAUUAGAUACCCUGGUAGUCCACGCCCUAAACGAUGCUCACUAGGUGUUGGGGAAGCGAUUCCUUGGUACCGUAGCUAACGCGUGAAGUGAGCCGCCUGGGGAGUACGGCCGCAAGGUUAAAAACUCAAAGGAAUUGACGGGGAC
This 481-nucleotide ribosomal RNA is filed under the name uncultured bacterium. Its description in RNAcentral is "bacterial SSU rRNA". It matches the Rfam family "Bacterial small subunit ribosomal RNA", at positions 446 to 920 of the family's 1533-position model. The record is from RNAcentral.